RNAcentral lists this ribosomal RNA (254 nucleotides) under uncultured bacterium. RNAcentral describes it as "partial 16S ribosomal RNA". It matches the Rfam family "Bacterial small subunit ribosomal RNA", at positions 524 to 776 of the family's 1533-position model. The record is from RNAcentral.
UACGAAGGGGGCUAGCGUUGUUCGGAAUCACUGGGCGUAAAGCGCACGUAGGCGGAUCGUUAAGUCGGGGGUGAAAUCCCGAGGCUCAACCUCGGAACUGCCUUCGAUACUGGCGAUCUUUGAGUCCGGGAGAGGUGAGUGGAACUCCGAGUGUAGAGGUGAAAUUCGUAGAUAUUCGGAAGAACACCAGUGGCGAAGGCGGCUCACUGGCCCGGUACUGACGCUGAGGUGCGAAAGCGUGGGGAGCAAACAGG